AACUUUAUAGUCAAUAAAAUGAUAUUAGACUGCAAUUCUAAAGGAAUAAAAAUUAUAUUUAUUAAAGUUU
Molecule: transfer RNA, 70 nt
Filed under: Axarus fungorum
Lineage: Eukaryota; Metazoa; Arthropoda; Insecta; Diptera; Chironomidae
Description: tRNA-Cys
Source: RNAcentral